This 245-nucleotide ribosomal RNA is filed under the name uncultured bacterium. RNAcentral's name for it is "partial 16S ribosomal RNA". It matches the Rfam family "Bacterial small subunit ribosomal RNA", at positions 528 to 772 of the family's 1533-position model. The record is from RNAcentral.
GAGGAUCCGAGCGUUAUCCGGAUUUAUUGGGUUUAAAGGGAGCGUAGGCGGGAGGUUAAGUCAGUUGUGAAAGUUUGCGGCUCAACCGCAAAAUCGCAGUUGAUACUGUCCUCCUUGAGUGCGGUACGGGCAGGCGGAAUUCGUGGUGUAGCGGUGAAAUGCUUAGAUAUCACGAAGAACUCCGAUCGCGAAGGCAGCUUGCCGGGCCGUAACUGACGCUGAUGCUCGAAAGUGCGGGUAUCAAA